GGGGAUAUAAUUUAGUUGGUAGAAUAUUGACCUUGCACGUCAAAGAGAUGGGUUCAAGUCCCAUUGUCUCCA
Taphrina deformans PYCC 5710 is the source of this 72-nucleotide transfer RNA. It matches the Rfam family "tRNA". From Rfam's summary of the family: Transfer RNA (tRNA) molecules are approximately 80 nucleotides in length. NCBI's taxonomy places the organism in Eukaryota, Fungi, Ascomycota, Taphrinomycetes, Taphrinales, Taphrinaceae. The record is from Rfam.